Non-coding RNA from Peromyscus maniculatus bairdii (prairie deer mouse), 796 nucleotides. NCBI's taxonomy places the organism in Eukaryota, Metazoa, Chordata, Mammalia, Rodentia, Cricetidae. The record is from RefSeq and is a predicted model, not a curated record.
GGGGAAAGGCGGGGCUGUGGGGACCAAAGGAGAGAAAAGGGAGAUGAGAGGGCGAGAGGGAACAGCUUCCCGGGAGCUGCCCCAGGGACCGCACAGGGAAAGGCUGCGCUAGAGCAACGAACCUGGUGUUUUUCAAGGACCCGAAGGCGUGCGGUGAAGCCAUGAAGCGCCUGCUGAUCUCCCUGGCCUUCUGGCUGGGCGUGGUGGGCAUACACGGGACGGAGCUGGAGCUCAGCGAGACACAGCGCAGGGGGUUACAGGUGGCCCUGGAGGAGUUCCACAAACACCCACCCGUGCAGUGGGCCUUCCGAGAGAUCGGGGUGGACAGCGCUGACGAUACGCUCUACUCAGCCGGCACCUUUGUGAAGUUGGAAUUUAAGCUCCAGCAGACCAGCUGCCUCAAGAAGGACUGGAAAAACCCCGAGUGCAAAACCAAACCAAACGGGAGAAAGCGGAAAUGCCUGGCCUGCAUCAAAUUGGACCCCAAGGGUAAAGUUCUGGGCCGGAUGGUCCACUGUCCGAUACUGAGGCAAGGGCCUCAGGCACCGCUGCAGCACCCUGGUCCUGGCAGGAGCCUCAGGAGGUCCAGUGCACUAAGGUAGAACAGGCUGGCGAGGACCCCCGCAGCUACUUCUUCCCUGGACAGUUUGCCUUCUCCAGGUCCCGGCAGCCCAAAUAAGCCCUGCACAGAACUCCAUCUUCCUGUGCAGCUGUGGCAGCAGCCAGUGGAAGCACACCGGCUCCCAAAGACGAAAUAUUCCAAGCUAAUAAAAUUGCUGAGUCUGUUCAUUUCCAA